Molecule: unclassified non-coding RNA, 923 nt
Filed under: Melitaea cinxia (Glanville fritillary)
Lineage: Eukaryota; Metazoa; Arthropoda; Insecta; Lepidoptera; Nymphalidae
Description: misc RNA ENSMCXG00005019036.1
Source: RNAcentral
CAAGGAUUGGUCGCGUAGGGUCAUUCAUUAUUUUAUUUUCGGCAAUCCACGCGAGAUGUGAUCACCUAAACUUAUUUUUUUUGUUCGUUGGGUGAGUUUGUUUUCUUUCUUUUGUCACUAGGCGUGAGACCAUAUUUCUUAAAUUUUAAUAUUAAUAAUGGCGUCUCCAUAACUAUGACUGCCAUCGUUAUUUAAAAAUGCAAUCGUCUUAUCCGCUUAUUAAAAGUUAUUAAAAAUUAUUUAAAUGUUCCGAAUUGAUAACAAGAUUACCCUGAGGGUAGGAGGUUCAAAUGAUUUGAACCAACAUGCCUAUGCUGUGAUAAGUUUCAUAAUUUUUUCUCUCUGGAGUUUAUUUUGUAACGUUUAUUUAUAUAAAAACAAAUAAAACUUAGAUUCCAAUAUCACUAAUACUGUGAAAUCUUUUCACAGGUUUUUUUUUUUUAUAUAUUUUUUAGGGGUUUAGUUAUUCUAGAUAUAUUUUUUUUUAACAAUACUGGAAGCAUACUUAGUCAAAACAUAUAUUGAUUCAUGGCAUUAUUCUGUAAUACUGCAAAGAAUGGGAUGUCGAUGAUGUUCAUCAUGAUCCAAGAGAUCCAAUUAUUGAGACGCUAGCAAACAGAUGGACUCUUAUCGACUAUCGCCUAUCACUACAGGCGAUAUCCAGAACAUAUCCGGUAUUGUGCUAUUUAUUUUCAGUUACAUAGAAAUUUAAAGACUAAAAGUAGUGAAUUGUGUAUAAUAUAUAUAGUGAUUUAUAAAUAGCAAGUAGUGUAUAAAUUUUGGUAUUCUAAAUUAUUAUUGAAUCUGGUAAAUGUUUCUUUUUAGUUAAAUUUAGUAUAUUAAGUAACUCUUUGGAAAAAUAAUUUAUUGUAGAACCACCCUCUUUUUCUUUUGUUUUGUAGCUUAACUAUAUUUCACCUUUU